RNAcentral lists this long non-coding RNA (1060 nucleotides) under Androctonus crassicauda. Lineage: Eukaryota; Metazoa; Arthropoda; Arachnida; Scorpiones; Buthidae. The record is from RNAcentral.
UGAACCUUAUCCUUCAACCUUCCAUUGACCUCACCAUGAGUAGUUUGGAAGAUCUUUACUGUAAUUCACCUCAAAUUACAGGUAAUUGGAUUCGAAAAGUUUCUUUAUUGUUGGUGAAAUAUGGAGUAUCAUAUAGGAUUUUUCUCUCUAUGACUGUUGGUUGUAAUGAACUCAAAAAAAUGACUGUCACGGCAAUAUCCUAAGUAUAAUUUGAGAACAUUAAAAUUAACCCAAGCUAAAGUCCUGGAUUGAUCAGCAUAUUAAAGUAAUUUUCAGUGAUGACAAAAUAUGGAUAUAUCCCAAUCCUAACAUUAAGCAAAAGUAUGUUAAGUAAGAACAGUCGGAUAUCUCACCUUACAUCACUAAUUUAUUCCAGAACUCUGAACUUAAGUCAAAUCAAUUCUUAAAAAAUGACCUAGAACCUCCUGUAAAUCCAUAUAAAUAGCCCCAAUUCUGUAAUCCAUAUAAAUUAUUUAAUAGCUCAUAUGAAUAUGAGCUUUUAAAUAAUUUUGUAAAUUAUUUUACAUAUUUUAAAAUUCAUUUUUAUGUUAUUUUGCACUUUUCAAUAACGUUUAGGUGAUUUUUAAAAUUUUUAUGUUUUAGUGUGUUCUCUGACUCAUGUAACGUAAAAUUGCAAAACGCGAUGUUAAAAGCUAGCGUAAAAUGCGACGUAAAUACAUCGGAGUAUCCACGCCGUUGGUGUCAUCUUUAAACAACGAUAGACGUAUGCAUCGACAAAAUAGAACGCAUAUCUGGAUAAUCUCCAUUCUGAACUUGCAAUUUGCUUUGAUCUACUUCAGCAGUUGUGUAAUUUCUAAAAUUAAUACUGACUAUGCUGCCAUCUGUCGGAAAAGAAAACAGAAAGUCAACAUAAAAUAUUGUUGGUAAAUAAUACAAUGUAGAUAAUUAUGAUCAAUAAUUUUAUUCUAUUCAGAUAUAAUAGAGAAUUUUCAUGAUGUAAUUAUUAUAAGGAAAUUUGGUUUACAGAUAAUUAAGUUUUACUUUAUCUAAAUAAAAUUUUUAUUAAGAUAAUAAAUUAUCGUUUCGGUUUGGAUAGCAU